This is a long non-coding RNA of Erpetoichthys calabaricus (reedfish), 629 nucleotides long. RefSeq lists it as uncharacterized. NCBI's taxonomy places the organism in Eukaryota, Metazoa, Chordata, Cladistia, Polypteriformes, Polypteridae. The transcript is spliced from 3 exons. The record is from RefSeq and is a predicted model, not a curated record.
CUUACUCUGUGCACUGUAUAGACAAACAGAUAUUAAAUGUUGAAAAUAUGUAUUUUGUGUCAAUAUUAACAAAAAGGUAAAUAAAAGUUAAGAAGUAUACAUUUGGAUAAGCUAUUCUUGUUUUAAUAGGUACAUUGUCGAAUAUUAUUAGCACAUAUGUUUUUUGGAGAUGUUAAUUUCUAAUUCUUAUCUUUAACAAUAGAUGUCUGCCACCUUGAGAAGACUGGUAACCUACCUGUGACUCCUCGAUUGAUCCUGCUUGGUCCAAGUGAUACUCAAGGGCAGUGGAUGAAACAAUGGAUGAUCAGCUUGGAGGGCAGAAUAAUCUGCGAGGGUGUGCAACCAACCUUUCUCACUGGACUUGCUGCUUUGUUUUCACUGUAUUACAUCUUCAACCUGCAAUAUCAAGAGGAAGCAGCAUCCACACUGGAAUUCCUUCAAAGACAAUUUGUUGGAAUAAAUCCGGAAAAAGGGACCAAGGCUGCAAAAGGAAAAGUGACAUCUAAAAAGACUGGGAAAACUGUUCAAAAGAAGACAAUGACAGUCAAUCUGAAAGUGUCAAAUCUUUUAAAAAGAUUGAUGGACUCUGAGUGGCACUUUAUUUAAAAUGUUUUUUGUUUUACAGUGGU